UACGUAGGUGGCAAGCGUUGUCCGGAAUUAUUGGGCGUAAAGCGCGCGCAGGCGGUCCUUUAAGUCUGAUGUGAAAGCCCACGGCUCAACCGUGGAGGGUCAUUGGAAACUGGGGGACUUGAGUGCAGAAGAGGAAAGCGGAAUUCCACGUGUAGCGGUGAAAUGCGUAGAGAUGUGGAGGAACACCAGUGGCGAAGGCGGCUUUCUGGUCUGUAACUGACGCUGAGGCGUGAAAGCGUGGGGAGCAAACAGG
RNAcentral lists this ribosomal RNA (253 nucleotides) under uncultured bacterium. RNAcentral's name for it is "partial 16S ribosomal RNA". It matches the Rfam family "Bacterial small subunit ribosomal RNA", at positions 524 to 776 of the family's 1533-position model. The record is from RNAcentral.